AACGAACGCUGGCGGCGUGCCUAACACAUGCAAGUCGAGCGCGAAAGUUCCUUCGGGAGCGAGUAGAGCGGCGGACGGGUGAGUAAUACAUAGGUAAUCUACCUUCGAGCUUGGGAUAACCCCGCGAAAGUGGGGCUAAUACCGGAUAAGACCACGUAAUUAUUUUACGGGGUAAAAGGUGGCUUAUUUUUUAAAUGAGCUAUCACUUGAGGAUGAGCCUGUGGCCUAUCAGCUAGUUGGCGGGGUAAGAGCCCACCAAGGCUAUGACGGGUAGCUGGUCUGGGAGGACGACCGGCCACACUGGGACUGGGACACGGCCCAGACUCCGACGGGAGGCAGAAGUGGGGAAUAUUGGGCAAUGGGCGAAGGCCUGACCCAGCGACGCCGCGUGGGCGAUGAAGGCCUUCGGGUUGUAAAGCCCUGUCAUGCGGAAAGAACGACCCUGAGACGCAUACUCUCAGGGAGUGACGGUACCGCAGGAGGAAGCACCGGCUAACUCCGUGCCAGCCGCCGCCGUAA
Molecule: ribosomal RNA, 519 nt
Filed under: uncultured bacterium
Lineage: Bacteria
Description: partial 16S ribosomal RNA
Rfam family: Bacterial small subunit ribosomal RNA
Source: RNAcentral